RNA transcript from Propithecus coquereli (Coquerel's sifaka), 1378 nucleotides. RefSeq lists it as uncharacterized. The record is from RefSeq and is a predicted model, not a curated record. The transcript is spliced from 2 exons. Lineage: Eukaryota; Metazoa; Chordata; Mammalia; Primates; Indriidae.
AUGGUUAGUCCAUUGCUGCCUCCCUCAUAUGUUUUAUGAGAGCCCAUAGAUACAGCACCCUCUAAUUUGAAAUCCUUAAGUUUGAUAGUCUACAUCAGGCUUUGAUUGAAGGUCAUCAUUUUUAAAAGUUAAAAACUCAAGACCUCACAGAUUAUAAUAGAAAAAGAAGUUGUCUCAAUUUGAUCUUGUUCAAGUGACCUUGAUUGGUUUUGCUUUAGGUGCAGCUGUUUAGUUUAGAGUUACAUCACAGAGAGUUACUUUCUGAGAUAAUCUUAAACUAGAAUGUGCAAACCCAAUUGAUAAUUGAAGUAUCAAGAUACGUGGAACACAUCAGACAUCCUCAUGAUCUCCAUUUUAUCCUUCUUAGUAUCUUUAUUACCUUUCAUCUGUUCCUUGUCUCUUUAUUUGGUAUUCAUAUUACUAGUAGUAAAAUAAAAUGAAUUAAUUUUUGUUUUGAUUUGGCUUCAUAGAACAUCUCAAAUUGAAACUUUUCUGCACAAAGAAUACAGUUAGAGGUUUUGUAAACUCAAAUUGGCACCUACUGAAUUAAAAUAUAUAAAAUCAUUUAAAUGUAAUUCAGUGUAUGGAAAAUAACAUUGCACUAAUAUGGAAAUCACUGCCAGAGACAGUCCGUUUUCUUUUAAUUUGUUACUACUUAGGCACAAACCCUACAUGAUUCCAGUUUGGAAUUGCUUAUUAAAGAGAAUUGGAAAUGCACAUGCCCAUGCUUAAAUUUUAUAGCUUUAAUCUGUAUUAUGUCUUUAUUAAUGGAAAGAGGUAGAUCUUUUCUGUUUUCAGUAAAGAAAACAAAUACGCAUUAAUUGCCUCAAAUUUGUGUAAAUGAUUGGCUAGUCUAGAGAUUCUUGUUUCCAGAUGGGAGGGGGUGGUCCAGAUAGCAAAUGACAAAGAUGGCAAUAUACAGUUAAUGUUGUUAUUAUAUGUUGUUACUGAAAUACUUAGAUUUUUAAAAUUUCAAAUCAUAAAUCACUUCUUGUAGGAGGGUUUCUUUCCAUUGAUUAGUUGCAGUAUAUACAGUUCACUACAUAUGGGGUGUUUAAGUUUUUUGUGUGCUGCAUUUCUUUCUGUUUUUUAAUACCUGGUUUUAUACAUAUCUAACUCUGUUCUUUGUUGGUUGUUCAGAAACUGGAUUAUUUUCUCUUAAGCAGUGCUUAAUUUGUGUUUUUAAAUUUCAUUUCAGAAGUAGUCCCAACUCAUAAGUAUCCAUACUGUUAUAUCCAGAACAUUUGUCCUCUGUCAGCUCUCAUGUACAUAUGGGAUAGAAACCACGGAGUUAGGCACUUCCUGGCUUUUUUUUUUUUUUAAUGAGAAAAAUACUGUAUUUAAAAUGUAAAAUAAACUUUUAAAAAGCAGGCACUAA